This 377-nucleotide ribosomal RNA is filed under the name Theileria capreoli. RNAcentral describes it as "SSU rRNA". It matches the Rfam family "Eukaryotic small subunit ribosomal RNA", at positions 477 to 890 of the family's 1831-position model. The record is from RNAcentral. Lineage: Eukaryota; Apicomplexa; Aconoidasida; Piroplasmida; Theileriidae.
ACAUACGGGGCUUUAUGUCUUGUAAUUGGAAUGAUGGGAAUUUAAACCUCUUCCAGAGUAACAAUUGGAGGGCAAGUCUGGUGCCAGCAGCCGCGGUAAUUCCAGCUCCAAUAGCGUAUAUUAAAAUUGUUGCAGUUAAAAAGCUCGUAGUUGAAUUUCUGCUGCAUUGCAUUUUCUCCUAUACGAGUUUUUGCAUUGUGGCUUAUUUCGGUUAUAAAAUUUAUUUUUAUUUCCGGAUGUUUACUUUGAGAAAAUUAGAGUGCUCAAAGCAGGCUUUUGCCUUGAAUAGUUUAGCAUGGAAUAAUAAAGUAGGACUUUGGUUCUAUUUUGUUGGUUUUAGGUACCAAAGUAAUGGUUAAUAGGAACAGUUGGGGGCA